GAUGAACGCUGGCGGCGUGCCUAAUACAUGCAAGUCGAGCGAACAGAUGAGGAGCUUGCUCCUCUGACGUUAGCGGCGGACGGGUGAGUAACACGUGGAUAACCUACCUAUAAGACUGGGAUAACUUCGGGAAACCGGAGCUAAUACCGGAUAAUAUAUUGAACCGCAUGGUUCAAUAGUGAAAGACGGUUUUGCUGUCACUUAUAGAUGGAUCCGCGCCGCAUUAGCUAGUUGGUAAGGUAACGGCUUACCAAGGCAACGAUGCGUAGCCGACCUGAGAGGGUGAUCGGCCACACUGGAACUGAGACACGGUCCAGACUCCUACGGGAGGCAGCAGUAGGGAAUCUUCCGCAAUGGGCGAAAGCCUGACGGAGCAACGCCGCGUGAGUGAUGAAGGUCUUCGGAUCGUCAAACUCUGUUAUUAGGGAAGAACAAAUGUGUAAGUAACUAUGCACGUCUUGACGGUACCUAAUCAGAAAGCCACGGCUAACUACGUG
This 497-nucleotide ribosomal RNA is filed under the name uncultured bacterium. RNAcentral's name for it is "partial 16S ribosomal RNA". It matches the Rfam family "Bacterial small subunit ribosomal RNA", at positions 28 to 507 of the family's 1533-position model. The record is from RNAcentral.